GAUGAACGCUGGCGGCGUGCCUAAUACAUGCAAGUCGAGCGAACGGACGAGAAGCUUGCUUCUCUGAUGUUAGCGGCGGACGGGUGAGUAACACGUGGAUAACCUACCUAUAAGACUGGGAUAACUUCGGGAAACCGGAGCUAAUACCGGAUAAUAUUUUGAACCGCAUGGUUCAAAAGUGAAAGACGGACUUGCUGUCACUUAUAGAUGGAUCCGCGCUGCAUUAGCUAGUUGGUAAGGUAACGGCUUACCAAGGCAACGAUGCAUAGCCGACCUGAGAGGGUGAUCGGCCACACUGGAACUGAGACACGGUCCAGACUCCUACGGGAGGCAGCAGUAGGGAAUCUUCCGCAAUGGGCGAAAGCCUGACGGAGCAACGCCGCGUGAGUGAUGAAGGUCUUCGGAUCGUAAAACUCUGUUAUUAGGGAAGAACAUAUGUGUAAGUAACUGUGCACAUCUUGACGGUACCUAAUCAGAAAGCCACGGCUAACUACGUGCCAGCAGCCGCGGUAAUACGUAGGUGGCAAGCGUUAUCCGGAAUUAUUGGGCGUAAAGCGCGCGUAGGCGGUUUUUUAAGUCUGAUGUGAAAGCCCACGGCUCAACCGUGGAGGGUCAUUGGAAACUGGAAAACUUGAGUGCAGAAGAGGAAAGUGGAAUUCCAUGUGUAGCGGUGAAAUGCGCAGAGAUAUGGAGGAACACCAGUGGCGAAGGCGACUUUCUGGUCUGUAACUGACGCUGAUGUGCGAAAGCGUGGGGAUCAAACAGGAUUAGAUACCCUGGUAGUCCACGCCGUAAACGAUGAGUGCUAAGUGUUAGGGGGUUUCCGCCCCUUAGUGCUGCAGCUAACGCAUUAAGCACUCCGCCUGGGGAGUACGACCGCAAGGUUGAAACUCAAAGGAAUUGACGGGGACCCGCACAAGCGGUGGAGCAUGUGGUUUAAUUCGAAGCAACGCGAAGAACCUUACCAAAUCUUGACAUCCUUUGACAACUCUAGAGAUAGAGCUUUCCCCUUCGGGGGACAAAGUGACAGGUGGUGCAUGGUUGUCGUCAGCUCGUGUCGUGAGAUGUUGGGUUAAGUCCCGCAACGAGCGCAACCCUUAAGCUUAGUUGCCAUCAUUAAGUUGGGCACUCUAAGUUGACUGCCGGUGACAAACCGGAGGAAGGUGGGGAUGACGUCAAAUCAUCAUGCCCCUUAUGAUUUGGGCUACACACGUGCUACAAUGGACAAUACAAAGGGCAGCGAAACCGCGAGGUCAAGCAAAUCCCAUAAAGUUGUUCUCAGUUCGGAUUGUAGUCUGCAACUCGACUACAUGAAGCUGGAAUCGCUAGUAAUCGUAGAUCAGCAUGCUACGGUGAAUACGUUCCCGGGUCU
RNAcentral lists this ribosomal RNA (1372 nucleotides) under uncultured bacterium. Its description in RNAcentral is "bacterial SSU rRNA". It matches the Rfam family "Bacterial small subunit ribosomal RNA", at positions 28 to 1381 of the family's 1533-position model. The record is from RNAcentral.